GUAGGGUGCGAGCGUUAAUCGGAAUUACUGGGCGUAAAGCGUGCGCAGGCGGUGAGUUAAGUCUGAUGUGAAAGCCCCGGGCUCAACCUGGGAAUGGCAUUGGAAACUGGCUCGCUAGAGUGUGGCAGAGGGGGGUGGAAUUCCGCGUGUAGCAGUGAAAUGCGUAGAGAUGCGGAGGAACACCGAUGGCGAAGGCAGCCCCCUGGGCCAACACUGACGCUCAGGCACGAAAGCGUGGGGAGCAAACAGGAUUAGAUACCCUGGUAGUCCACGCCCUAAACGAUGUCAACUGGGUGUUGGGGAAGCGAUUCCUUGGUACCGUAGCUAACGCGUGAAGUUGACCGCCUGGGGAGUACGGCCGCAAGGUUA
This 369-nucleotide ribosomal RNA is filed under the name uncultured bacterium. RNAcentral describes it as "bacterial SSU rRNA". It matches the Rfam family "Bacterial small subunit ribosomal RNA", at positions 527 to 896 of the family's 1533-position model. The record is from RNAcentral.